ACUUUGUGAGAGAAAACAGAGGCAUAGGGUGCAAGCAUAAUGUUAAAAAAGCUUUUGUAGGCGCACGUUCAAGGGUGACAAUGAGAUUGAGAGAGGAGAAAAUAUUAAGACAGAAUUAGGGAACGCAAUCAUACAUUUGAGGAGUUCAAUAAGUAUUAUCUGGAAGAACGUCUAUCCUACUUCAACAUGGUGCGUUGAUGAACUUGUGAAAAUCCUUAAUUAAGAGGACAAAAGGGCAUGCAAUUCUUCGUGUUUCAUCAUGGGGAUCCUUCUGAAGUUAAACAUCAGAGAAAGAGUUUUGCAGAAGCAUUUACGACAUAUGCGAGACAAAUUGAAGAAGAGAAAUAGGAGAAGGGAUCAUCUAACUUUCAAAUUAUAUACCAUAUGGAGCAAAAAAUCAUUAAAUUUCUUGUUUCUUUUCCCUUUCUUCUAUCUAAUGUUCCUACAUAAAUUCUGUAAUUAGUGAUGAAUCUAUGAAAGAACAAAUGUCACCAAAAUAAUGAUUAAAUUGAGAAGCAUACUAGCAUU
Molecule: long non-coding RNA, 528 nt
Organism: Lycium ferocissimum
Lineage: Eukaryota; Viridiplantae; Streptophyta; Magnoliopsida; Solanales; Solanaceae
Exons: 2
Source: RefSeq, a predicted model, not a curated record